This is a long non-coding RNA of Chroicocephalus ridibundus (black-headed gull), 8674 nucleotides long. RefSeq lists it as uncharacterized. The transcript is spliced from 7 exons. Lineage: Eukaryota; Metazoa; Chordata; Aves; Charadriiformes; Laridae. The record is from RefSeq and is a predicted model, not a curated record.
CCUGUAGUGGGAAGACCUGGGCCAUCUAAAUCCGGCGCUGUCUGCAUGAUGGGGACCACCUUUGAACCGGGAAAGUUACUUGUUAGAAAAGCUUGUACUUUGGAAGGAUUCUUCCCCUUUUAGCUGUGGAGCUUUUUGGUCAGCGUGGCUGGAGCGUCCUGUGCUGGCCUACCCUGGCACAAGAGGCCAAGCGGAAAGCCAUUUCAAGCAGUGAUGAAGUCUGCUCAUCCCUUCGGAGCCUUCUGCUUGCCGGUCAAGACCACAGGAUUUCCUCGGAGAGCAAACGCGCGUUGUUCGGCUCAGCGCAUGUGUAAAAGCUGGAGCUGAUCCGCCUGCUUUGACCAGGGAGGGAGGUCAACACUAAAAAUCUGUGAUGCUUGUAAGAAGAACAGGACCCGUGGAAGGCUGUGUGUCUCUUGUAUUUGUGCCGCUUCAGACAACAGCGGGGAUUUCUCUGCCGAGUCUUUGAGGGACAAGCCCCCACCGCAAGAGCCGUGAGCGUUGAAAGAUGGAAAACAUCUUCUCCCCUCCCUCCCUUGUCUUGUAAAAGGAAGCAGGAAAUUGUGAGCGCAUGAGUUAAGCAGAGCCCUGGGGAAGAGGAAUCUCUGGAGCAGCCUGUGGCUGGCGGCGGGGUGCGAAGCUGGAGGCCACGGCAGGACACGCACGUACUCACCACGCACUUGGCAUCACCACAUCCCUUCCCCUCCCCUCGACCCAGACCGUCUCUCCCGUCGCUGCAGCUGGAUCCGUUCCCAGUCAGGGACUGGGUGAGAGGUGGCGGGUGGCCGGGGAUGUGCUGCCUAUGGCUGCAGGAAACCAGGCAGCACGGGAUGGCUCGGUAAAUUCACUACCAAAAGCACUGCCGGAGUCGGGCAGGGAGAGGCAAAUUGUGGCUGGAAAAGGUGGAUGAGAUUUGGGCCCCACGAGUCAUUGCGCCCCCUCCUGCAUCCCGAGGCCGCCCCGGUUACAGCCGUCCCGCUCUGGCUGUCACGGCGGAGGCAGCAGGAGCCGGCCCAAGCUGUCCGUGCGGGAAGGAGGUGGUGUUUUUCACCCCUAGCAUGAACCUCUAAAAUCUCUUGGGAAAAUCAUCACCAAAAACACUGACUGAUGCUGCCCAAGCAGCGGAGGCUCCCGGAGCCGGCACGGCUGCUGUUGGGUACCCUGAUGUCUGUGGGAGCCAGACGAGCCUGCAGCGUCCGAGGGACAGGCGCGUGUUAAUACACCCCAAUGAGACGCUGCCCUGCGUUGAACCCGAGAGCGUGUGCUGGCUAACACACGUCAGCAUGGAGACCUUCCAGGCUGGCCGGGAAAGCCCCAGGAGAUGUCGAGAUCGCGUGGUCUGUGCCGGAAAAAUAAACGAGCCUACCUUCCUGUGGUGAUUCAGUCUCCAGCGCGCUCCUACACUGCCCUUCUCCCAGGAUGAUCACACUGGGACGUAUCUUGUGCUAUUUACUCAAUUCUCUCCCGACACCGCCGGAAGGAGCAGGGGUGUGAAGGAAGCCUGUGCUUGGUCUGAAGAUCGGCAGCUUCAGCCAUAACAACUCAGCUGCCGGAGGAAGCAAACCUCCCUGGCCAGGGCUGGAGGGGACGCGACCUCUGCUGCUUCCCAGGUUACUAACAGCAGUUUUCAGCUGCUGUGGGACAGGUCCUUGGUUCAGGUCAGCUUCCCAAGGAGAAAAAUGUGAAGGCCCGCGCACCUGGACAGCAGCGGGCACAAUGGGACCUCUCCCUUGUUACAUGUCUGGCUGCAGAGCAGCUAAUCCAAUAUUAUUAAUGACAAUCAGAACAGACAUGACGUAAUUUAAACCGCUGGGCUUCUAUAAAAGGAUUAUUCUUAGGUGUUGAGCUGCCCAAGGAUAGGGGGAAAAGCAUUAUUUUGUAUAUAGGAGAAACCUCCUGACACUUCAACACGCUGUGGGAAAGAAGAAAUGACUAUAGAGAGACCUGGGUCUGUUUGGCCUGGUGAAGAGAAGACUGGGAGGGGGAUCUCAUCAAUGCUUAUCAAUAUCUAAAGGGCGGAUGUCAAGAGGAUGGGUCAAACUCUUCUCAGUGGUGCCCAGCGCCAGGACAAGGGGCAACGGGCACAAACUGGAACACGGGAAAUUCCAUCUCAACAUGAGAAAAGCUGUAAGGGUGGCAGAGCCCUGGCACAGGCUGCCCAGAGAGGUGGUGGAGUCUCCUUCUCUGGAGACAUUCAGAACCCACCUGGACGCGUUCCUGUGCCACCUGCUCUGGGUGACCCUGCUCUGGCAGGGGGUUGGACUAGAUGAUCUCCAGAGGUCCCCUCCAAGCCUACGAUUCUGUGAUAAGAAAAUAGACCAGACCAGGCCUUCCUCUGGUGAUCUGGCGGAUGAGCAAAAGCAGGUCAGCUUACAGAGAGGCAGAGAGGUAGCUGCAGGUGGUUGGGCCCAAGGCCUUUCCACAGCUACUGGUGUGGCUCCCUGAAACGCUGCAAGGAGCUUUUUCCUCAAGCAGGAAUGUGCUCAGAAAGCCAGCCUUGGAAACUGCACGGUAUACUUCCUUCCCUCUCCCGUUAGACUUGCCGUCCGGCCCUCACUGGAAGGGGAGACAUGUAGAGGCUUUGCAGGAAAACCUUACUCUUGUGUGUGGAUGCUUUAGCUGGUUGCCAAACUUCUCCUGGGAAUGCAGGGUCUGAUUUGAUGAAGGAUGGGAUUUCUGACCAGAGAGAGCUGAGAGAGUGGUGAUUACAGCUCUUGCUUAUAAAUGCAAGAGCUCAAAAGCCUGGCCUGAUGGAGCCAGGCUUGAGACUUGAAUCCUGGCCACUCACUUCCCAAGGUAUGGGUUGCUUUAACCUUCUGGGGUCAGGUUGCUUUGGUGAGGGGAUGGCUUCUUUUGCUUUUCUUUUUAAAUGCUUUUGAGACUGUAGGUGACAGCAUUCCCUUCUCUGCAGGACAUUUGCACUCACUGGGAUCAUGUGCUGCAGAGUACUGAAGCUUUCACUCAAUGAGAAGCGCGCUGCACAGGUCCCCAUCUUCACACAGAUGGAGCCCAAGACUCUUCCAUGCCGAUACAGGGAGAGUCAAAGCUGAAAACCUGUAAAUCUGAGCUGCUGGUUACAAUAGCAAAUAUGAGCCCAAAAAGCUGGAGGAGAUGCCAUGCUCAGCUCUUCUGGCAAGCAGUUGUAGUAAACUUCUUCAGGGGAAAAGGGGAUGGGGUCCUUUGGUCUUGGCCUCCAGAGAAGUUAAGUUCUGGCAUGCACCUGAUCUGUGCCACUGCUGAGAUGGGAGGCUCACAGCAGCCUUUCUGACACCCGUCUACGUCGAUGGAGAGUUGUCUUUGACUAGGCAAUACUGACCCAAGCCUGGGAGUGGCUGCUCUGACCAGGUGUCCAUCUGUCCUCUCUUUCUUCUGGGACAGUUUCUUUAGUUCUAGGUGGGUGUCUUGCGUUUCUCUGCUUGGUUCUGUCUGCAUCAAUGUAGCUGGGACUUAAUUUGCUUCUAUCAAACAUCAGGAGAAGUCGCUUUGCUUUGGCCAGAGUAUUAGGCUAGCUCUGUGCCUUGACCAGCGUGCCUCUAAUCCUUGGACAAAAACCCCAAGGGAGAGCUUGGGAAAUGAAUCCUUCCAGCCCUUCCUCUAGCAAAAGCUGGGCAUCUCUAACUCUGGGACUGGGCAGGAUGGGAGAUGCCCCCGUAACGCUGAUGGCCCUCGGACAUGCGUAUCCCGACCCUCCCUGGCAGAGUCACAAAUUCCACUUGUGAAUGGAGAAGUCAAUAGGAAGAUCAGCGUUGAUGAAUGCCAGAUCAUACUGCACCUCAGUAAAGGAAGAAGAAAGAAACCACCCCAGAGGCGCUCAAAUGAGAAGAAAGCCAGCGCUGUGCCCUUCAGGCUUACCCUCGGAGUGCUGGGGUGAAGGAUGGCACAGAGGAGUUUCACGUAACCACCAUCUUCUGCAAAGCGGACCUGGCCAGACUAAGGAAGAUCUGAUCUGCUGUCUUUGAUUUGGUGAGAAGUAAACCGUAGUGGGGGAAAGAUACUGGGGAAAGAGGCAUGUGCAUUUGCAGCAGGGAUUGUCCCCUUGAAACAGCUGUAACCCACAUCCUUUCCACAUUAAACAGUCAAGAGUGGCUGCCCCCACCCGGGGCAGUGCAUCUGCCAGGGCUUUCCCUGCCAAGUGAUAGUUUCCAGGAUGGGCAAAUGCGGGCAAGCAGGAAGAGACCGGCUCUGCUGUGAGGUGCAAGCGUGUGCUUCUGACCCGCUCUGUGGUUUUCCUGUGUGCCACCUGGGGAGGACCGUGAUGAAGGGAUGUUCCUCUAGAGUCAAGGGCCGAGUCUGCAUCAUCAGCACAACCCAGCCUAGACCUUCAUGCUGUCACACAAAGACCUGGCCUAAGCCCAGACCCUUCCAGGGGGCAGAGAACAGGACUCGAUCCGUCCCUUGUCAGAUGUCCACAGAGGUCAUGCCACAGCAGUGGGGUGCAUCGCACUACCGACAGUAAUCCUGAACAGGGCUGAUUUUUGGUGUCGGCUCUGGGGCCACACUGUUGCCAGCAUGGUGGGUGGGAAGCACGCGGGUCACAACCCACUGCCUGCCUCAUUCACCAAGGAUGUGACCUCUGGAGAGCGGAUGGUAGGCAUGGAAAACCUGAAACAUCUCUGCCUUGGAGCAGUCUGUGUCAUCCAGCCAUAACUUUUUCCCUUGCCCACAGGCAGAUGCCGGCCACGGGUCUCAUGGGUGGCAAGGCAGCGCAACCCCAGACUGGGUGCCCUUUCAGCCGAGCUGCCUCCCGGUUGCUUCCAGCAAAUAAUCCACGGAACCCCUCCAGGCUCAGUUCCCUUGCAACAAGGACCCAUCCCAAACGGUCAUGCCAGUCCGAUGGUCUAUGGUUCUGCGCCUUGUGAUGGCUUCUCUGGUGUCUAAUGAUGGUUCAGCUUGUGCUCCAGCCUCUCCGCUGGGGAGGGAGGGCUUCGUAGGAGCUUCUUCUCCAGCUCUCUCCUGUCCUCAGAAAAUUCAUGGGAACUUACUAUCUUUAGAAGCUCUCACCCUCUAUCAAAUCUGUUUGGAAGGGCUCAGUGGGUUAAAAUGUUAAAAGAGGGGAGAAUGAUGAGCGUAUGCAACUCGUGCUUAAGUUUUAUGGCCUUAAGAAACCAUACUGAAGCCAUGCUAGAAAAAAGGGAGUUGUUUCCAGGAAAAGUUUUCCAAAGUUUCAACUUGAUUUCCUUUCCAGCAUUAUGAAAGCCGCUCUUUGAUAAAUAUCGUAAUUAAAAAAACCCAGCAGUCUUAUUUUUUUCUCCAAUUCGUUUUAAUGGUGUAAAUUCGGGGCCGGGGGGUGGGGGGUGGGAAGGGAGCGCUUAGAAACAAAAUCUCUGUAUUUUCUCGUAUAAACAUACCCCGUUCUGAGGAAGACGCUUUCCUCUUUAACAAGGGUCUUUCUGUUGGAAAACGGUUGCUUGGCUUUUGCGCUGACAGCCCCGGGACAGUAAAACUUGUCAGCACGAGUGAGAAACUGAGUGGCCCGGCUGGAGUGGGAUAACGCUCCUGCUAACAGGGCGAUUGUCCCUCUAACUCCACGGUGGCGGUUCCAAGCGACCCCCCCCGCCGGCAGCCGCUCCCCAUGAUCCCCUCCCAGGCUCUAACACAGCUGCUGGCUUGCGGCACAUUUCUUUUCCUAGAUGUCACCUUGGGGUUUCCCCCACCACCACCACCACCGCCGUCUCUCAGGAUUUCUAGGAUGCUUGAACUCAUUUCUGCCUGCGGUAUUGCUGAUGUGGAUGGGCUGGGCUGCAUUUUUAGGAUCUGAUUCAAAGCCCACUGAAGGCAGGAGCGAUUCGCCGUUGAUGUCAGUGGUCGCUGGAGCAGGCGCGGUGUAGCUGCUGGUUUUUUAUAUCCAGACAAUCGCAGUUAAAGGGAGCAAAGAAAAAAAAAACAAAAAACAAAACAAAACGAAAACCCCACAGCCAAAACAAGGAUCCUGCUUAAACCAGGGUAUUGCACCAGACCCCCCAAAAGCAGUGAGAGGUACUGGAUUGCUCACUCCUGGGAAAAAUUGAGGCUGUCCUCUUUAAGAGAGAGAUUUUACUUUCUCUCUCUUUGGAUUUUGCAUUUGAAACAAAUGAAGGGCUUUGUGAGGAGAAGGGAGAAAAAAAGAAAAACCCAAUGACCUUAUGGUGAGCAUCUCGGGAAUCUGUGGUACAUCCAGCUGAUGGUGAACCUCCCUAAGGUCUGGCCAUGCCAGCAUUGCCUGAGCCCGUGGAAGGAGAGCACGGCACAACCCACACUGUCCGUACCGGUGAGCAGGAGCUGAGAUUGCACCUCCGAGACAGGGCAGGGGGUCACAGAAAUUCCUGUGUUUAUCAACUGGGAGUAUUCUGGGAGGAGGAGGGGGUUGUGAGUUAUUCCUACUUUUUCAGAUCAUUUCAAUUUUGCUAGAGGCAGUUGCUCCAGCGGAGGUGUUUCUGCACCGUGCACAGCGCACGCCGGCUGGUGCGUGCCACCCAGAGACCAGGUUCAGCGGAGCAAAUUGCCGGCGAUGUAGGGUUGGAUCAGCGAAACUGGCAAAAGGAGAGUUUCCGCCGACAGACCCGAAUUCCUGCUUUGCAGGUUGAUUAGAGGGGGUGGCUGAGCCCUCAGCUGAACCUCAUUCGCCACGCGUCUGGGGAAAAUCUGACAAUAAGAUCCCCCCGAAAGAUGAACAGCUCGUAUUUGGAGGAGCUGAUAUCUGCCUGCUAGCAACAGGCAAGGCGAGACGAGAGAUGCAGCAUUUUGGGAUGGGCUGAAGCUCUCUGCCCCUGACAGAGAGGGCCGGAUCCAGCGCAGUGAGGGGUGCAGCUCUGCAGACGUGGAUGGGGCACCGGGCUUCCACCUCAGCUCAGGAUCUGACUCAACGGCCACGUUGUUGUCUUGGAGGGUGGAUGAUGUGAAAUGAUUCACCAUCAUCAACCGCUGGCAUUCGACGGGGUUGAGUCAGGGCCAGCGGGCUUAAAAAGUGGCGGAUGGGUUAAAUGUUUUUGGAAGAGGGGAGAUGUUGGGUCUUCUCCUUUGCCUGCUGGAUUGUGGACCUCUGGAUGGUGGCCAGCUUGCAUGCGAUGCUCUUCCCAGCAAGCACGAGGCAAAGCCGGUUGGCAGAGCGUGUAACCGGGGCUCAGUUGGGUCUACGAAGAGCUGGCUUUUGCUGCCUCUCCCAGAUGCCUCUGGGCCCAUCUUUGCUUUGCGGGAGGCUGGCGGCUUCCACUCCAUGUGCAGGUUGAUGGGUCUUCUUCAGCCUGGCAAGUGACUGGCUGCUCCUGUCCUGUGCACUCUUCAUGCCGUGGGAUGCCGGUCCCCGCUGGGUGACCUGUGGAUCCCACACCCUGGGUUUGAGCGCUGUGAGGUGACGUGGAAAUUUGUCGCUUUCGGUGCUGCUCAGUUUCAGUUUGCUGCCUUUUGAAAUCUUCAAAUAUCCUUGUAACUACAGGAGGCUCGAGGAGAAACGCCAAAUGCUCCGUCUCAUGACAAAGCCGCAGACGCACCGGAGAGCUGCCAGGAGAGCAGUAGCUGAUAGUGACUGGGGAGGAAGCGCAGCCUUGCGGUCACACACCUGCCCUUUGGGCUGGGAGGUGGGGAAUUCAUGUUGGGCCCCUCCUGUGACCUUGUGUACAGCUUGGUACGGUGGUUUGCAGCGGCUGUGCGGGCUUGGAGACCUGUCUGUUACCUGCUUGGACUGACAGCUUUUUGAUCAGCGAUUCCCACAGGUUAACGAUGACAUAUGAAGAGAUUCAUUAACUUCAGGAGACUCACCGCCCCCGGCAGCGGAAACGGGACCCGCUUCUGCUGGCUGGGUGGGAUCCGUGCUGCGGCUGCAGGCUCCGUGAGCCGUCGGCUCCCCCCGGCACGCCAAAGGCCAUUCAUUGCCCAGGGGACGGCUCCGCUGUGUCAGAGCGCUUCAAACCGACCGGUGUCGCGGUGACCUUAUUCCCCAGCUCCCUCCUAUUCAACCCCUUCUCGCUAUGGUUUUAUUUUUAAGGCCCUUGUCAAACACCGGAUAACGCCGCCCUUUGCCAAGGCGAUCGCUGGCCAAAAGUCCUCUUUUAGUGCAAACUGCAGGCGACGGCUCUCAAGCGCCGGUGGCCGCGCCGGGAGAGCUGAGGACCUGCCUCCUCCUCCAGAGGGGUUUUCGUCUCAGCACCCCUGGUGGACAAGGCGAUGGCACUGAGAUGUCAGGCCAGGUGGAAGUCACUGGUGUGUCAGGUGCUGCAGGAAUAGCCGAGGAACUUAAAAGUGUGAGGAGGCGAGCCAGGCACACAGCAGGGGAUGAGCGAUGGUGCGUCCGAGGGGAGAGGUGUUUUGCAAGCAGCCCUUAGAGGUCCCCUUGGAGACACAGGGCAAAGCCCAGCGGGGCAUUUUAGGAUUUUGGGGUGCCUUCCCCCUGCCAGAGUUCAACCCCGCUAUCACAGAGGCUGGCACAAGCAGCCACCCUGGCGUGUUAAUUCAGUACCAGCCUGUUGUCUUGGGGUGUGAGGACAAGUGAGAUACCUCUGGCAAACCUGAAACAGGACUUUGAAUUUCUCCCACAGCUCCCAGCUCCCCCCCGCGGACCUGAAAACUUCCCCAAGCCCCAAACUCCCAAUGUUUUGACACCCAAGCACCAGCCAUAAGCCUCUGCUGCUGCAGCGAGGUCCGGGAUUGCUGACCCACAUGUUGGUUCAAGCCCCUCACCUGGCUGAAAUGUCAGCCUGGC